AGCAUGUUCCUUAGAUCCACCAGAUGGGACUCAGUCCACCAACUUUUCCGGUUGGGUAGCGCUGGUGAAUGAGUCAUUGACAUGCGAGACAAUGGUAUCUCCUCCUGUCAACCAGACCUCUCUAGUCACACUCAAACUGCAAUUCUUUUGCUGCUUGGGGAAGCU
Macrobrachium nipponense is the source of this 165-nucleotide small nucleolar RNA. RefSeq annotates it as small nucleolar RNA SNORA53. The transcript has a single exon. The record is from RefSeq and is a predicted model, not a curated record. NCBI's taxonomy places the organism in Eukaryota, Metazoa, Arthropoda, Malacostraca, Decapoda, Palaemonidae.